RNAcentral lists this ribosomal RNA (535 nucleotides) under fungal sp. CS3. Its description in RNAcentral is "eukaryotic LSU rRNA". The stretch from base 162 to 315 matches the Rfam family "5.8S ribosomal RNA". The record is from RNAcentral. Lineage: Eukaryota; Fungi.
AAUGUGAACCAUACCAAACUGUUGCCUCGGCGGGGUCACGCCCCGGGUGCGUCGCAGCCCCGGAACCAGGCGCCCGCCGGAGGGACCAACCAAACUCUUUCUGUAGUCCCCUCGCGGACGUUAUUUCUUACAGCUCUGAGCAAAAAUUCAAAAUGAAUCAAAACUUUCAACAACGGAUCUCUUGGUUCUGGCAUCGAUGAAGAACGCAGCGAAAUGCGAUAAGUAAUGUGAAUUGCAGAAUUCAGUGAAUCAUCGAAUCUUUGAACGCACAUUGCGCCCGCCAGUAUUCUGGCGGGCAUGCCUGUCCGAGCGUCAUUUCAACCCUCGAACCCCUCCGGGGGGUCGGCGUUGGGGAUCGGGAACCCCUAAGACGGGAUCCCGGCCCCGAAAUACAGUGGCGGUCUCGCCGCAGCCUCUCCUGCGCAGUAGUUUGCACAACUCGCACCGGGAGCGCGGCGCGUCCACGUCCGUAAAACACCCAACUUCUGAAAUGUUGACCUCGGAUCAGGUAGGAAUACCCGCUGAACUUAAGCAU